CGCAAGAGCGCAGACUGCAGCAGAACGCAGGGCCAGUAGGAUUUUCCUCCUCGUACUGGAACAGCCGAGAAACCAGAGAGACAGUUACCCGCUGAGGAGGAGAGAGACGUUAUUCAUGGAGGAUCCACUGAGGAGAACCUGACCCACAAGCUGCUGAGUGUGUAGGUUUGCAUCUGGCUCACAGAAGCAGUUGUGUGGACUCUUACACGCACCCAUCCCUCCUUUGGGACAGGCCCACUGCCUCCUCAUUUAUGGAUAGGAUGCUCGGCUCUGCGCCCUUGUGCUGAGGAGGCGUCUGCGGGCAACAGUAUGGGCGCUGUGCUGGCUGGCAUCCCCACAACCCCCUCCACCACCGAUCUGCCACCACCACGCUGCCCCACCGAGACGGGCGCUUCCCCCAGCCCCGCUGAUGGGCGAAGACACUGACGCCACCCCGACGCUCAACCACCGCGGCUUCCUCCCUGACCACAACUAUGUGACUGAAGGGCUGCUCCUGGCUAUAGCCUGAAGAGCUCCGCCCAUCCUGUCCACCCCUCUCCACCCUGGAGUCCUCCCCCAGGAUGUUGAGCCCCAUCCAGGUCCUGUGCUCCGACAUCACUACCCUUUCU
Molecule: non-coding RNA, 608 nt
Organism: Plectropomus leopardus (leopard coralgrouper)
Lineage: Eukaryota; Metazoa; Chordata; Actinopteri; Perciformes; Serranidae
Source: RefSeq, a predicted model, not a curated record